This 825-nucleotide ribosomal RNA is filed under the name uncultured Actinomycetes bacterium. Its description in RNAcentral is "bacterial SSU rRNA". It matches the Rfam family "Bacterial small subunit ribosomal RNA", at positions 58 to 897 of the family's 1533-position model. The record is from RNAcentral. Lineage: Bacteria; Bacillati; Actinomycetota; Actinomycetes.
CAAGUCGAACGGAAAGGCCUGCAGCUUGCUGCGGGUACUCGAGUGGCGAACGGGUGAGUAACACGUGGGUGAUCUGCCUUGCACUUCGGGAUAAGCUUGGGAAACUGGGUCUAAUACCGGAUAGGACAGCUGUUUAGUGUCAGUUGUGGAAAGUUUUUUCGGUGCAAGAUGAGCUCGCGGCCUAUCAGCUUGUUGGUGGGGUAAUGGCCUACCAAGGCGUCGACGGGUAGCCGGCCUGAGAGGGUGUACGGCCACAUUGGGACUGAGAUACGGCCCAGACUCCUACGGGAGGCAGCAGUGGGGAAUAUUGCACAAUGGGCGGAAGCCUGAUGCAGCGACGCCGCGUGGGGGAUGAAGGCCUUCGGGUUGUAAACUCCUUUCGACAGGGACGAAGCGUAAGUGACGGUACCUGUAUAAGAAGCACCGGCUAACUACGUGCCAGCAGCCGCGGUAAUACGUAGGGUGCGAGCGUUGUCCGGAAUUACUGGGCGUAAAGAGCUCGUAGGUGGUUUGUCGCGUCGUCUGUGAAAUUCCGGGGCUUAACUCCGGGCGUGCAGGCGAUACGGGCUGACUUGAGUGCUGUAGGGGAGACUGGAAUUCCUGGUGUAGCGGUGAAAUGCGCAGAUAUCAGGAGGAACACCGAUGGCGAAGGCAGGUCUCUGGGCAGUAACUGACGCUGAGGAGCGAAAGCAUGGGUAGCGAACAGGAUUAGAUACCCUGGUAGUCCAUGCCGUAAACGGUGGGCGCUAGGUGUAGGGGGCUUCCACGUCUUCUGUGCCGUAGCUAACGCAUUAAGCGCCCCGCCUGGGAGUACGCCGCAAGCUA